RNAcentral lists this ribosomal RNA (459 nucleotides) under uncultured bacterium. Its description in RNAcentral is "partial 16S ribosomal RNA". It matches the Rfam family "Bacterial small subunit ribosomal RNA", at positions 338 to 795 of the family's 1533-position model. The record is from RNAcentral.
CCUACGGGAGGCUGCAGUGAGGAAUAUUGGUCAAUGGUCGGGAGACUGAACCAGCCAAGCCGCGUGAGGGAAGAAGGUGCCAGGUGUCGUAAACUUCUUUUGUCGGGGAACAAAGGGCGCCACGCGUGGCCGUGUGAGUGUACCCGAAGAAAAAGCAUCGGCUAACUCCGUGCCAGCAGCCGCGGUAAUACGGAGGAUGCGAGCGUUAUCCGGAUUUAUGGGGUUUAAAGGGUGCGUAGGCGGUCCGGUAAGUCAGCGGUAAAAGCCCGGGGCUCAACCCCGGCGAGCCGUUGAAACUGUCGGACUCGAGAUGGCGAGAAGUACGCGGAAUUCGUGGUGUAGCGGUGAAAUGCUUAGAUAUCACGAAGAACUCCGAUUGCGAAGGCAGCUUACUAGACUGCCACUGACAUUGAUGCUCGAAAGUGUGGGUAUCAAACAGGAUUAGAUACCCUAGUAGUC